GUUUCCGUAGCACAGUGGUAGUGCAUCGUACUUAUGGGCAACCUGACAUGCGAAUGUCACGGGUUCGAUCCCCGUCGGAAAUA
Transfer RNA from Dacryopinax sp., 83 nucleotides. It matches the Rfam family "tRNA". Rfam says of the family: Transfer RNA (tRNA) molecules are approximately 80 nucleotides in length. Their secondary structure includes four short double-helical elements and three loops (D, anti-codon, and T loops). Lineage: Eukaryota; Fungi; Basidiomycota; Dacrymycetes; Dacrymycetales; Dacrymycetaceae. The record is from Rfam.